Long non-coding RNA from Saimiri boliviensis boliviensis (Bolivian squirrel monkey), 500 nucleotides. RefSeq lists it as uncharacterized. Lineage: Eukaryota; Metazoa; Chordata; Mammalia; Primates; Cebidae. The record is from RefSeq and is a predicted model, not a curated record.
AAUGAAUGGAGGGCGGCGGCGACUGCUGCAGCUGGGCCAGCUGCGCGGGCUGCACCCCCUCCCAGCCUGCGAGAGGAGGAAGCUAGUAGAAGAUCUCUACCAACAAAACCAAGGAGUAAACAACUUGAGAAUAACUGCAUGAGCUCAGGGCUUGGACUGUCAGAUUCUAUUUCUAAGCGUCCAGAAGAGCAACACACAGACAUAGGGGAAGUGAGCCUUUGAUCUCCAAUGCCAUCCCCGUUAGCCACCUCCACCACCAGCACAACCACUGAAUGGCACUUUGGACAAUUUUUCCCUCUUAUGUGAUUUUGUCAUUUCUUAUGUCAAUUGGAGCCAGCAGCUCUCAAAUCCAUCUUCUAAAAUCCAGAAGUUUGUGGCACACUUGAUGACUGAAGGGGAGUCAGCUGACCAGGUAAAGGACUGCCACUGGAUUGGAAGGCUGUGGGAGGGCGAGGGGAUGGUGGACAUCUACUGGGAAGAGCUGAAAGAUGGAGUUACCA